This 265-nucleotide ribosomal RNA is filed under the name unidentified marine bacterioplankton. RNAcentral's name for it is "partial 16S ribosomal RNA". It matches the Rfam family "Bacterial small subunit ribosomal RNA", at positions 45 to 339 of the family's 1533-position model. The record is from RNAcentral. RNAcentral also lists the same sequence under 1 other name.
ACGCCUAACACAUGCAAGUCGAACGCAGUAGCAAUACUGAGUGGCAAACGGGUGAGUAACACGUAAGAAUCUACCUUUGGGACGGGGAUAACUUCUGGAAACGGAUGCUAAUACCCGAUACGCUGUGGAGUGAAAGAAUUUCGCCCAAAGAUGAUCUUGCGUCUGAUUAGCUAGUUGGUAGGGUAAUGGCUUACCAAGGCGACGAUCAGUAGCUGGUCUGAGAGGAUGGACAGCCACAUUGGAACUGAGACACGGUCCAAACUCC